Non-coding RNA from Acanthosepion pharaonis, 113 nucleotides. NCBI's taxonomy places the organism in Eukaryota, Metazoa, Mollusca, Cephalopoda, Sepiida, Sepiidae. The record is from the annotation of a GenBank genome assembly.
UUACGACCAUAUCACGUUGAAACACUAAUUCCCGUGGGAUCAUCGACGUUAAGCAACGUCGAGCCGAGUCAAUACCGAGAUGGGUGGCCGCUUGUGUAUAUCAGGUACUGUAA